Transfer RNA from Cladophialophora immunda, 138 nucleotides. It matches the Rfam family "tRNA". From Rfam's summary of the family: Transfer RNA (tRNA) molecules are approximately 80 nucleotides in length. Their secondary structure includes four short double-helical elements and three loops (D, anti-codon, and T loops). The record is from Rfam. Lineage: Eukaryota; Fungi; Ascomycota; Eurotiomycetes; Chaetothyriales; Herpotrichiellaceae.
GUCAGUGUGGCCGAGUGGUUAAGGCGUGUGACUUGAAUUUUCCACAAAAAAAAACAACUCUCGCAGUGGUUUUUCCUAGCAAAAUUUCAAUGCCAUCACAUCUCUUCGGAGGCACAGGUUCGAACCCUGUCGCUGACG